AGAGUUUGAUCCUGGCUCAGGACGAACGCUGGCGGCGUGCCUAACACAUGCAAGUCGAGCGGAGAAGGCAUUCAUGUCUUUUCAGCGGCGGACGGGUGAGUAACACGUGGGUAACCUGCCUCGAAAUGGGGGAUAGCCUUCCGAAAGGAAGAUUAAUACCGCAUAACCUCGGAUCUCCGCAUGGAGGACCGAGAAAAGGAGAAAUCCGUUUCGAGAUGGACCCGCGGCGCAUUAGCUAGUUGGUGAGGUAACGGCCCACCAAGGCGACGAUGCGUAGCCGACCUGAGAGGGUGAUCGGCCACAUUGGAACUGAGACACGGACCAGACUCCUACGGGAGGCAGCAGUGAGGAAUAUUGGUCAAUGGGCGCAAGCCUGACGCAGCAACGCCGCGUGAGUGAUGAAGGCCCUCGGGUCGUAAAGCUCUGUCAGAGGGGAAGAACCGCCGGGUGGCUAAUACCUGCCUGGUCUGACGGUACCCUCAAAGGAAGCACCGGCUAACUCCGUGCCAGCAGCCGCGGUAAUACGGAGGGUGCAAGCGUUGUUCGGAAUUAUUGGGCGUAAAGCGCGUGUAGGCGGUUUGUUAAGUCUGGUGUGAAAGCCCUGGGCUCAACCUGGGAAGUGCAUUGGAUACUGGCAAACUUGAGUACGGGAGAGGAUAGUGGAAUUUCGAGUGUAGGGGUGAAAUCCGUAGAUAUUCGAAGGAACACCGGUGGCGAAGGCGGCUAUCUGGACCGAUACUGACGCUGAGACGCGAAAGCGUGGGGAGCAAACAGGAUUAGAUACCCUGGUAGUCC
RNAcentral lists this ribosomal RNA (795 nucleotides) under uncultured bacterium. RNAcentral's name for it is "bacterial SSU rRNA". It matches the Rfam family "Bacterial small subunit ribosomal RNA", at positions 8 to 796 of the family's 1533-position model. The record is from RNAcentral.